UUGAAAGGGAAACGAUUGAAGUCAGUCAUGCUAGCGGGGAACCAACUUUGAUGGUGUGUGAGUGUGGGUUCGCUCGCGUACUUUCCGGUGCACUUCCUCACUCGGCAGGUUAGCAUCAAUUUCGGUUAUCAUAAAAAAUUUGAGGGAAUGUGGCUUUUCUUCGGAAAAGUGUUGUAGACCUUGAUCUAUGUGGUGACCGGGAUUGAGGAUUGCAGCGGAUACCCUUGUGGCUGGUCACCUGGCUUCUGACGGUUACCCCGCUCUCGACAGCUCGCUGACGUUAGUGGACUCGAUUGUCUAGAUGUCAGAGUGAAUCAUUUUCGUUAAGGAUGUUGACGUA
RNAcentral lists this ribosomal RNA (340 nucleotides) under Acaulospora sp. acp2. RNAcentral's name for it is "eukaryotic LSU rRNA". Lineage: Eukaryota; Fungi; Glomeromycota; Glomeromycetes; Diversisporales; Acaulosporaceae. The record is from RNAcentral.